This 295-nucleotide unclassified non-coding RNA is filed under the name Hevea brasiliensis (rubber tree). Lineage: Eukaryota; Viridiplantae; Streptophyta; Magnoliopsida; Malpighiales; Euphorbiaceae. The record is from RNAcentral.
AUUCUGUGCAUGUUGGAAUGCCUAGACUCUAUUGUGAACUGUUUUGGCCUAUUGGUGAAGGCCGGUAAAACUUUGGACUCAUAAAUAAUGUGUGGAAUUGUAUGGUUAAGGUUUACCUUUGAUGUGCAAAUACAGUCAAUUUUGACUGGAAGUUUAUGGAUUUUGAAAUUAUUGAUCACAUAAAUUCUUGAAUUUCAAAAUUAUUUUGAUAUUGGCAUCAUUAUUUCAGAUAUGGUUUUUCUUCUUUGGAUAUGGGCUCAAUUUCAUUCCUUUCUUUUAUUCCCUGUUAGGUAUA